RNAcentral lists this transfer RNA (73 nucleotides) under Propionibacteriaceae bacterium. Its description in RNAcentral is "tRNA-Asn". Lineage: Bacteria; Bacillati; Actinomycetota; Actinomycetes; Propionibacteriales; Propionibacteriaceae. The record is from RNAcentral.
UCCCCGGCAGCACGAUCGGACGUGCGGCGCCCUGUUAAGGCGACGGUUGAAGGUUCGAGGCCUUCCCGGGGAG